GAUACCCUGGUAGUCCACGCUGUAAACGAUGGAUACUAGGUGUGCGGGGUCUGACCCCCUGCGUGCCGCAGCUAACGCAAUAAGUAUCCCACCUGGGGAGUACGAUCGCAAGGUUGAAACUCAAAGGAAUUGACGGGGGCCCGCACAAGCGGUGGAGUAUGUGGUUUAAUUCGAAACAACGCGAAGAACCUUACCAGGGCUUGACAUGGGGAUGACCGCUCCAGAGAUGGAGUUUCCUCUUCGGAGGCAUCCCACACAGGUGGUGCAUGGUUGUCGUCAGCUCGUGUCGUGAGAUGUUGGGUUAAGUCCCGCAACGAGCGCAACCCUUAUUGUUAGUUGCUACGCAAGAGCACUCUAGCGAGACUGCCGUUGACAAAACGGAGGAAGGCGGGGACGACGUCAAAUCAUCAUGCCCCUUACGACCUGGGCUACACACGUGCUACAAUGGGUACAACAAAGGGAAACGAGACUGUAAAGUGGAGCGAAACUCAAAAAAGUAGUCUCAGUUCGGAUUGAAGGCUGAAAUUCGCCUUCAUGAAGCCGGAAUUGCUAGUAAUGGCAGGUCAGCAUGCCGCGGUGAAUACGUUCCCGGGCCUUGUACACACCGCCCGUCACACCAUGAGAGUUGGGAAUACCCGAAGCCUGUGAGCUAGCUUAUAGAGGCAGCAGUCGAAGGUAGAAUCAAUGAUUGGGGUGAAGUCGUAACAAG
RNAcentral lists this ribosomal RNA (709 nucleotides) under uncultured bacterium. RNAcentral describes it as "bacterial SSU rRNA". It matches the Rfam family "Bacterial small subunit ribosomal RNA", at positions 781 to 1495 of the family's 1533-position model. The record is from RNAcentral.